RNAcentral lists this long non-coding RNA (7678 nucleotides) under Physcomitrium patens. Its description in RNAcentral is "long non-coding RNA (PPAT_LNC004230)". Lineage: Eukaryota; Viridiplantae; Streptophyta; Bryopsida; Funariales; Funariaceae. The record is from RNAcentral.
GGAGCUUCAUGCUUCGGGUCGGGGAAGGAAAGACAUAGAAUUUGGAUUUUUCUUCUUCGUAGAGUUUUGGGGAAGACUGAGGCAAUCGCUACUGAAGUCAGUGUUGUAAUGGUGAAUCGGGAUUUUUAAAUGAAGUGGGUUUGAAUACUCUUGACUGUUUUGUGAAAUCGAGUUACGUCUGUGAUUGAAGGAUUAAAAGGGUGUCUAUAGGAUUGAGUAUGCGGAGUGAAUGAAAUUUAUUGGGUUAAUCUAACAAGACAGUUAGUGGAUACAAGAUCGUAAGUACAAAGCAGUAUUGAAGGUUAACAGUUUGGGUUGUACGGGGUUCUCUGUAACGUCUAGAGACCUACCGGCUGGGGCAAAAAGGACUUCGACAAGCAGUCGAAGAGUACCCGUAUAGAUUUACGGUACAUUGUUGCAGUCGUUUAUAUUCCAGCAGUCAAAACUGAUAGACUGCUUGACUAUCGGCGAAUCUUCAUACUACCUUCUACAGCCAGACGCCCGGCGCAUUCUCGAGCAGGAAAGCACGUAAUACGACAUAAGUGGUGAACCCGACGUGAAGCUUGAGGUAGAAGGUAUUGGAUUUUGGUUGAUUUUAUCUUUAUUUUUAUGGAAAACGAAAAUAAAAAUUUUGAAGUAUUUUUGGGAGAAGUUCUGGUGGGGAGUCUUCUAAAGGACAAGGUAUGCACAUUGAUCCAUCUAUUGCUAGUUUGUUUCAAGCCUUCUCAUUGUCAAUGCAGCAACAGCAAAGCAAUGAUCGGAAGGAAGCUUUAGCAACCAAAGCAUUGCAAGCAGUGGUCAAUAAAAUUGAUCAAUUUGAUGGGAGGAAUAUUUCAAGGUAUUUAAGAUGUUAUGUUCGUGAAAUGGAAUUAAAUCGGGUUUCUGAGAAGAAAAUGGUUGCACUAUUUGGACUUGCCACGAUACCGGAGACAAAGAAGAAGAUGAAAGAUUGACAACAAAGUGGAAGAACGUUGAAGAUGCGGUGGGGUUGCUUACAAAAAAAGAAAGGAGGAAGGAUAGGAGCAAUAUUCCGAAAACAGUACAAGCACCCAAAGCUCCAGUACGUACAACACCACCGACAAUGCCUACAGUUCAACCUUCGACAUCCUUGUCAAAGAAAGCAGAUAUGGGUAUGGAAGAAAUUAUACGAGGAAUGCGAGAUCUUCAAAUCAAAUUGGCAAGACUUGAAGAGAAUACUUCUAUAAACAAUUCAAAGAAUGUUUCAAAACAAGGAUAUGUACAAAGAUGCAUUUGGUGUGAUGAUGCUUCACACACUAGAAAAGAUUGCAAUGAAUUUAAUAAUAUGAUACGGCAGGGAAUUAUUUGCUGGAAAGAUGGGAAGAUAGCAUUGAAAGAUAGGGAGGAUCUUCUUCAAACCAAUUUUGGCAAGGGAAGAAUGAGAGCAUUGGUUCAAGAUUACUUAAAAGAGCAUGAAACAGUAGUACGAGAAAGUGCAAGUUAUGGUGUUAGAGUAGAUGAUGAAAUUGGUGGAAGUAUGAAAACUAGUGAGUUUUGGGCUUCUGCCGUUUCUACAAUGCAAGAAGGGAAAUUAUCUCGAGAAGCGUUAUUGAGAACUGCAGCUACAAUACGAGGUAGAACAGGUUGAGAGGAUCUUGUUGAGUCUCUUUCAGUUCAUGCAUAUAUUGCUAAGAGCCAACAUGAAGCUUUGAUGGAAGAAAAGAGACAAGGAAAUUUUGAUGAUACUAGAGAAGAAAAUUCUUCUAAGAGGCAAACUCGAGGAGACAAGGCUCGAGAGGCAGCUUCACAAGAAUUGCCAGUAAAGGAUACCUCAGCAUCAUUGGGAGAAAAAAACAAAGGAGACAAAAGAUAAGGGCAAAUCAAUUGCUUAUAAGCUACUUUCUGACAUUGAAGCGGCAACAAAUUUGAAAGGGGUGUUAGAAGAACGUAUAUUAAACGCUAAGGUGGAAUUCACAUUGAAAGAAGUCUUGGGAAUUGCAAAGAAGGAGUUUCAUGAUGUUAUCAUUGACAGCAUUAAGCGAAAGAGGCAAUUAAUGAGCGAAACUGGAAUGAGUCAUGCUAAUGAUGCAAGAAUAUGUAGAGAUGAAGAAGAGGUUGAUAUUGGUUACAAGCAACCAACAAAUGAAAAGAAUGGGUAUAAUCAGCGAGUACGUUUCGAAGAUUCUAGUGACAAGGAAAUGGAAACUUUAAGCCAUUAUACUCGAAAGCAUUGGGCAAGGGUAACUACUGAGGUAUUGGUGAAGGUAGGAGAUAUAGAGGAACCAAUAGUUGCUGUGGUGGACCAUGGUUCUGAAAUAAAUCUCAUGUCUAAAGAUCUUUAUAAGAAGCAAAAAUGGCCAAUUGAUAUGGAACAUGGAUGGGCAAUACGAGCAGCUGAUAACACACGAAGCGAAUUAUAUGGAGCUUGUCCACAUGUCAAAAUUCGGAUUGGGGAUGUUGCUACGGAGCAACAUUUCUUCGUUCAAGAUACAACGUCUUAUCCGUUGAUUUUAGGACAACCUUAUAUCACGGCAACACGGAUGGAAACAAAGGUACUUGACGAUGGUUCUGCUUAUGCAAGGGUACGGAGCGAAGAUGGGAGGAAAGCUGUACAAUUUCUAACAGUACCUCCUAACCAUGAACGGAAUCGAGAUAGGUUGAGGGAGAAACCAUUGCCAAAGAUUGUUGAAGGAUUUAAGGGUUUUGGGGAGGUACCACUGUAAAGUGAGAUUAUGGAGGUACAAAAGAGGAGGUACUCUCGCGAGAUGAAGGUGCCUUUGAUGCGAGUUUUAUUGGUAUAUUGGAGAAUGGAAAUAUUAUGUAUAAGAAAGUUGAUGAUUUUAAAAGAAAAGAAAGAAAAAGAUUAUAUGAUAUUGAAGGACAGUUACGUAAGAUAGGUACAUUGCAAGAUGAUGAGAGGAUUUUGGGUGUUUAUGAAGAAAAUGGGCUGGAAGAUUCAUUGGAAUUGAUUACAUCUAUUGGGUUAGGGGAUAAUGAUAAGAUUGUUGAGAUUCAUUCGAGAGAGGUGUAUACCAUGCUUGAAUCUUUUCAAGCACUAGAAGUCACAGUAGAGACGAGAUAUAAAACGGCAGAUAAGAAGGUAAAGCCUGUUGCCGGACCAUUACCAGAGGAUUCUAAAGAACAAAUGGGAGAAGCAUCAAAAGAAGCAAAUUUAAGAGAUCCAAUGAGUAUUGGACAUCAGUUUACUGAAGAGACUUUUGAAGAAUUGAAGAUUGGUUCUGAUGGUUCUUUAUUGCGGGAGGAAAUUACUUGCUUCAAAAAGAUGUUGGCUAAACAAGGUAGAUCGUUUGCCUUCGAAUCUCAUGAAAUUGGGUGUGUGGAUCCAAAUAUUAUAACACCUAUGGUUAUCUUCACUGUACCGCAUGUACCUUGGAAUCUAAGACCGAUUCCAGUACCGAGGGCACAUUUACCUAAAUUGGUGGAACUAUUGAAAGAAAAGAUAAAGAUGAAAAUAUUGGAACCUUCAUUUGCGCCGUAUUCUAGUCGAUGGUUUACGGUACCUAGGAAGAAUUGGUCACUGCGGUUUAUUCGAGAUAUGCAGCCGGUGAAUGCUUUAAUUGUCAGAAAUGCAGGAAUUGGACCUAUUGUGGAUGAAUUUGCUGAGGCGUUUGCUGGAAGGGCGAUCUAUUCAAUGGGUGAUUUGUAUUCAGGUUAUGAUCAAUUUCAACUUGUCGAAGGAAGUAGAGAUAUGACAACGAUGAGGACACCGCUUGGAUUGGUUAGAAUGUGCACUCUUCCUCAAGGCGCGACCAACUCAGUUGCGCAUAUGAUGAAUGGGAUGAAUAAGGUAUUGAGAGAUUUUAUUCCGGAAAAGACUAUGCCUUUUCUAGAUGAUGUUCCUAUAAAGGGGUGCAGAGAAGGAGACAAGGAUGAAACUUUAGAUACGAGGGGAUGUCGCAGAUAUGUUGUUGAUCAUAUACAAGAUUGUGAAAAGAUUUUAACUCGGCUUGGAGAAGUUCAUCUUACAUUAUCGGGUAUGAAGUCCGUAUUUGGAGUGCAAGAGGUUGUAAUUGUUGGACAUUUAUGCGGAUCUUACGGAAGAAAACCAGAUCCGACUAAAGUUGAUGCAAUUGGAAGGAUGAAAGAGGAUUGUGGUUCUUUAACAGAGGUUUGCAGGUUUUUGGGUGCAUGUGUAUUUUAUCGAAUCUGGAUCCCUCAUUUUGCUCACAUAGCGGAUCCAUUAUAUGAACUGUUACGCAAGGGUUACCGAUUUGAAUGGAAAGAAAGGCAUAUUCAAGCAAUGCAAAGAUUGAAGAAAUUAUUGAUGUCACCUCCAAUAUUGAGGAAGGUUGAUUAUAAGUGCAAUAGACUAGUGAUUUUUACUGUAGACGCUAGUCCAAUUGCCGUUGGAUGGACUGUGGGUCAAGAUGAUUCGAAUGGGAGUAGAUUUGCAGUUCGAUUUGGGGCUAAAGUUUUAAGUAUUCGUCAGCAUGCAUAUUCGCAAGUCAAAAGAGAACUUUGGGGAGUCGUUUCGGCUAUGAAAGCUGAAAAAGACUAUUUGAUUGGGGCAGUAGUAGUAAUUGAAACAGAUUGCUUGCCAUUGCUUGGAAUGAUUAUUAACUGUUCAACGCCAGAUAUUGCAAUGUUGAGAUGGAUUGCUUAUAUUAAGUCACUAAAUCCAGAAUUUAAGCAUAUCAUUGGAAAGGACAAUUUAGUAGCAGACAUGCUAUCUCAAGCAAGAUAUGAGAGGGAGGACGAAAUGGUUGAAGACAUUGAUGAUGUCGGAUUGAAAUUUUAUUCAAUAUCAAAUCUCAACAGAGAAGACAAGCUAUUUCUUGAAGAAGCUUAUGAAGGAGAAUUAUUGGAUAUUGGUCAUUAUUUGAAUACCUUGACUAAAUAGGGGAAUUGGUCUACAGAAAAAUUCAAACAAAUAAGAAAAAAAGCAUAUGGAUUUUUACUUCGAGAUGGAUUCUUAUGGAAGAGACCGAAGAAAGGAAUUGGGAUGCCACAACGAGUGAUAGGCAAAAGGGAAAAAAAACUAAAAUUAUUAAAGGAGUUUCAUGAUAGUUUAUGGGCAGGGCAUAGAAGAAUCUGGGCUACUUUUGCUAAACUCAAGGAACGAUAUUGGUGGAAAAAUAUGUAUCGAGAUGUGCUCUCAUUUGUAGAGUCAUGUAAAAUCUGUCAAUCGUAUUCUAAUAUCCGAAAUCGAGAUGGUCUUCAUCCUACGUAUCCGCUGGCUAUUCAUUUUAAAUGGGUUGUUGAUUUGGUUAUUAUGCCGGUUGGAUUAUGGCAGAUGAGAUAUUUGGUUUUAGCUCGUGAAGAUUUAUCAAAUCAAGUAGAAGGAAGAGCAUUGAGGACAAAAUCUAUAGAGGGGAUUUGUAGGUUUUUGCUUGAAGAUGUCAUUUGUCGUUACGGGUGCGUAGGGAAAAUCACUGCAGAUCGUGGAGAAUUAAAUGCACAAGAAGCUCGUAAGUUCUUUGAAAAAUGUGGAGUUAAACUAUCAUUGACUACUGCUUAUAAUCCAGAAGGGAAUGCAAAAAGCGAACGUGGUCACCCGCCGAUUGUGAAAGCAUUAGUUAAAGCUUGUAAUGGGAAGGUUAAAGAGUGGCCACGCCUUUUGUCAUUUGCAUUAUGGGCUGAUCGAACAACACAUAGUUCGGUGAUAGGAUAUAUGCUAGUAGAACUUAUGACAGGUCAAAAACUAAUUAUGCCGAUUGAAGAAAAGGUACUUACUUGGAGUAUGCUACCAUGGGAAGAUGGAUUGACAAGAGAAGAACUUCUGGCUAUUAGGAUUCGACAAUUGAAGCAAAGAACGGAAGAUGUCCAGAUAGCAUUGGAAAGGUUAAAAAGAGCAAGGUUACAAAACAAGGCGCGAUUCGAUAAGCAACAUCGAUUAAGACCAAAAGCAAUCGAGGAAGGUGACUGGGUACUUGUUUAUGACAAUAGUCUGGAUAAUCAACAUAGUACCUUGCGGAAAUUUUCAAAACGUUGGUUUGGACCAUAUGUUGUAACAACUGUUCAUGAUAAUGCGACUUACUCAUUACGGGAGUAAGAUGGUACAAAAUUGAAAAUACCAAUUGCAGGGAAGCGAGUAAAAAUAUUUAAACAAAGACACACAGAGAUGAAUAUGGAAGACCUUAAUGAAGGUCCAGAGAUUCCGCAGCAAGAAGAUGAAAGUGAUAUGGAUAAUGAAGGUGACGAAGACGAACUAGACAAAGACGUAGGGGAUAUAUUCUGAAUCAAACAACAAUUGGGUAAAUUGGUGCAUACCGGAGGAUGCACAGGUUCAGAGGGGGUGGAUGUCGUGUUGUAACACGAGUAUACAGUGAAAAUAAAAAGAAAGGGGAAUUUUAUUAAUAUUCAGUUACCUUGAAUAUUGGGAGCAUCGAUCAACUCGAGUACAAAUACUGAGUGGUCAGGUUCAGUCACUCCGUUACAGUCAGCCGGGGCAUACUGAAAUGCUCCAUUCGAUUCCAAUAACGGGAGUCAGCAGGAAGAGAAGGACCAAUUCACACGACGGGUUCGAGGAGCCAAUUGGAUCGAAUUUUGAUAAUCCAAUCCGGGUCCUCUUAUCCAAUAUGAGACCUGAAUUGGCCGGUCAACCCAAUGUGGUCUAAUUAUGGGAAAUCCAGGUCUUACUACGGGUCUUAGCCAAUCUGAUGCGAGGACCAAUUUGACCCAAUUACGGGAACAUCCAGGUUACUACGGGCAUCUUUCCCAAUAUAGGACCUGAAUUGGCCUGUCAACUCAAUGUGGUCUAAUUACGGGAAAUCCAGGUCUUACUACGAGUCUUAGCCAAUCUGAUGCGAGGACCAAUUUGACCCAAUUACGGGAACAUCCAGGUUAAUACGGGCAUCUUUCCCAAUAUAGGACCUGAAUUGGUCGGGCGACUCAAUGUGGUCCCGAUUACGGGGUUCGAUUCUGUUUCAGGCUGUCUUGUUCUCUGUGCCAUUUCAGGGAACGUUGUUUUCGGUAAAUGGAUUUCUUAAAGGUAAAAACGGAGGAGAAAGCUUGGCGGCGAGAGCCAAUUUCGAAUCCAAGUUGAGGUGAGAGUCAAUUUCGGAUCCAAGCUUGAGGUGGGAGCCAAUUCUGGAUCUAAGACGGAAGAUUGAAGAAAUUCAGAGGAUAAGGUUAGUGGGGAUAUAGUUUUGAGGAGGGGGGGUUUUUUUUUUUUCGGAGAAUCGGGGGGGAGGAGUUUUCAAGCUUUUGCAAGGUUACCUGUUCGGUUUUUUCAUUGGAGGUUUUUGGAAGAUCAAGGGAAUUAGAGAGAGGAGCUUCAUGCUUCGGGUCGGGGAAGGAAAGACAUAGAAUUUGGAUUUUUCUUCUUCGUAGAGUUUUGGGGAAGACUGAGGCAAUCGCUACUGAAGUCAGUGUUGUAAUGGUGAAUCGGGAUUUUUAAAUGAAGUGGGUUUGAAUACUCUUGACUGUUUUGUGAAAUCGAGUUACCUCUGUGAUUGAAGGAUUAAAAGGGUGUCUAUAGGAUUGAGUAUGCGGAGUGAAUGAAAUUUAUUGGGUUAAUCUAACAAGACAGUUAGUGGAUACAAGAUCGUAAGUACAAAGCAGUAUUGAAGGUUAACAGUUUGGGUUGUACGGGGUUCUCUGUAACGUCUAGAGACCUACCGGCUGGGGCAAAAAGGACUUCGACAAGCAGUCGAAGAGUACCCGUAUAGAUUUACGGUACAUUGUUGCAGUCGUUUAUAUUCCAGCAGUCAAAACUGAUAGACUGCUUGACUAUUGGCGAAUCUCCAUACUACCUUCU